GUCCGGGAUCCCAGGCCCUCAAGGACUUCCUGGGGAGCAAGGGGGGAAAGGCCCAGAAGGAGCAAAAGGGGAUGCAGGACCCAAAGGUGACCAGGGCCUCCUCGGCCUCCAAGGGACCAGAGGACAGCCAGGAGUUCGAGGCGCUCCAGGACUUCAAGGGUUUCCUGGGCCCAAAGGGCUAGCUGAACUUCAGGGACCUGAAGGCGAGGAGGGGCAAAUUGGGCCCCCUGGUCAAAAUGGCACAGAGGGGCCAAA
Long non-coding RNA from Elgaria multicarinata webbii, 255 nucleotides. RefSeq lists it as uncharacterized. The transcript is spliced from 4 exons. The record is from RefSeq and is a predicted model, not a curated record. Lineage: Eukaryota; Metazoa; Chordata; Lepidosauria; Squamata; Anguidae.